UUUAGGCAUUGCGGAUGCGGGAUGUUCCACUGUUUUUUACUUUGACUGUUUCAAUGCACGUAGCCACAGUUUCGGCCACGAUCCGCAAUUAUUUUGUCUGUGUGUUUCGGCAGAGAAAGAUGUGUCCUAAGAGUGUUCCAUCAUUUCUGGAAGCUUGCGAUUUGGCACAUUUAUCUUCAACAUUUGCUGAACAAAAAAUAGAUGACAUAGCUCUUUUAGAAUUAAUAACGGAAGAGGAACUUAAGGAAUUAAUUCCUUUUUUAGAAGAUAGAAAAAAAUUCAAGAUAGCUUUACAAAAACAUUUUUCCAAAAAUACCUUCGGAAAAUAUUGAACAUAUUGAUAAUAUUGAAAUAAUUGAACUGCAACAAAUAGAGCCUCCGGCAAAAAAACCAAAACUUGUAUCUCUAACAAAACCUUCUACAUCACAGACACUAUCUUGUAAUGAAAAAAGACUUUAGAUACAGUUGAAAAUAAAGCAAAAGAAAGUAAUAUGACUGA
Molecule: non-coding RNA, 499 nt
Organism: Nylanderia fulva
Lineage: Eukaryota; Metazoa; Arthropoda; Insecta; Hymenoptera; Formicidae
Source: RefSeq, a predicted model, not a curated record